This 574-nucleotide ribosomal RNA is filed under the name uncultured bacterium. RNAcentral describes it as "partial 16S ribosomal RNA". It matches the Rfam family "Bacterial small subunit ribosomal RNA", at positions 355 to 919 of the family's 1533-position model. The record is from RNAcentral.
UGGGGAAUUUUGGACAAUGGGCGAAAGCCUGAUCCAGCAAUGCCGCGUGUGUGAAGAAGGCCUUCGGGUUGUAAAGCACUUUUGUCCGGAAAGAAAUCCUUGGCUCUAAUACAGUCGGGGGAUGACGGUACCGGAAGAAUAAGCACCGGCUAACUACGUGCCAGCAGCCGCGGUAAUACGUAGGGUGCAAGCGUUAAUCGGAAUUACUGGGCGUAAAGCGUGCGCAGGCGGUUUGCUAAGACCGAUGUGAGAUCCCCGGGCUCAACCUGGGAACUGCAUUGGUGACUGGCAGGCUAGAGUAUGGCAGAGAGGGGUAGAAUUCCACGUGUAGCAGUGAAAUGCGUAGAGAUGUGGAGGAAUACCGAUGGCGAAGGCAGCCCCCUGGGGCCAAUACUGACGCUCAUGCACGAAAAGCGUGGGGAGCAAACAGGAUUAGAUACCCUGGUAGUCCACGCCCUAAACGAUGUCAACUAGUUGUUGGGGAUUCAUUUCCUUAGUAACGUAGCUAACGCGUGAAGUUGACCGCCUGGGGAGUACGGUCGCAAAGAUUAAAACUCAAAUGAAUUGACGGGGU